AGGAAAAGGUACAAACUAUCCGGCAAAGGAGUCCGUGUUUGUGCCGUCCGUAGCUGGCCCUUCGGAAUAUGAUUUUGGUGGUACUAUAAAUCCAUCAAUAUCCAUGGCAUUUGGAGAGUAUCCAUCAUUUUUAGGUCAACCUAUCCAAGGAGAAUUCACAAGACUAUUGCUUGAAGCUCAUGGAGAUGGCACAACACCGCCGGCCGCUCGUCAACUGGAUUUCAGCGGUGGUGCUAGUACAUCAAGGUUUCAGCCAUGACGAGCCCGAUCGUGCGUUGAUGCAUAAUGUCUUGUUGGUUCCUCAAUGCUAGUUAGCUGGGCAUGUCAGCUAUAUGGUUUAUGUAUUUGGUUUACAUAAAACUGGAGCUAUCCUUUUAUUUUGCUGCUAUGUGUGUGUCACCUGACAAUGCUGAACAUCUGUUAUCAAACAUAUAUUCUAUUAAACUGAAGCUAUCAUUUUCUUCUACUGCUAUGUGCUAGUGUUUCACCUGAAGCUAUCAUUUUCUUCUGCUGCUAUGUGUGGACAAGAACAACUAUACAUUGCAAAUUCCACAAGCUUUCAUUCACACAGAAAUUCGUUUACAACAUAGGCCAGUCUUGUAAGAGAAUAAAAUUCAGAAAGGAAAAUACAGAAUAGUUGCCUUUGUUCAGGCUUUUACAGCUCAAAUCACACACAAAAAUCUACAGGAACUUGUUAGUUGAUGCUGUUUGGCGUGGCGCCGCGAGCUUGGCCGCCGGAAAACAUGGUGGGUGCCGGCGGGGAUGGAGAGCCACGAGCAGGCCGGCGUCGAGGAGCAUGCCGACGAGCAGCUACGAGCCUACGACGGUGCCGCGACCUGGGCCGCCAACGAACGCGGCCGUGCCCGCGGGAAUGGAGGACGUCGAGCAGGGGAGUUGGGUCCAGCGUCGAGGAGCACACCGGCGGCGAUGUGGCGAGCAGCCGGAGUGGAUCACGCCGGCGGCCGGAAUUGGGGGCGUUGGAGGAGUUGGGCUAGGGAUUUGAUGCACGCUCGACCUGGUCUUCGGCUCGGGAUAAGGUGACUCUGCGCU
RNAcentral lists this ribosomal RNA (1050 nucleotides) under Triticum aestivum (bread wheat). RNAcentral describes it as "partial small subunit ribosomal RNA". Lineage: Eukaryota; Viridiplantae; Streptophyta; Magnoliopsida; Poales; Poaceae. The record is from RNAcentral.